Molecule: ribosomal RNA, 517 nt
Filed under: uncultured microorganism
Description: bacterial SSU rRNA
Rfam family: Bacterial small subunit ribosomal RNA
Source: RNAcentral
GAGUUUGAUCGUGGCUCAGGAUGAACGCUGGCGGCGUGCUUAACACAUGCAAGUCGAACGAAGCGCCUUAUUUGAUUUUCUUCGGAACUGAAGAUUUGGUGACUGAGUGGCGGACGGGUGAGUAACGCGUGGGUAACCUGCCCUGUACAGGGGGAUAACAAUCAGAAAUGACUGCUAAUACCGCAUAAGACCACAGCACCGCAUGGUGCAGGGGUAAAAACUCCGGUGGUACAGGAUGGACCCGCGUCUGAUUAGCUGGUUGGUGAGGUAACGGCUCACCAAGGCGACGAUCAGUAGCCGGCUUGAGAGAGUGAACGGCCACAUUGGGACUGAGACACGGCCCAAACUCCUACGGGAGGCAGCAGUGGGGAAUAUUGCACAAUGGGGGAAACCCUGAUGCAGCAACGCCGCGUGAGUGAAGAAGUAUUUCGGUAUGUAAAGCUCUAUCAGCAGGGAAGAAAGUGACGGUACCUGACUAAGAAGCCCCGGCUAACUACGUGCCAGCCGCCGCAGUAAC